GAUGAACGCUGGCGGCGUGCCUAACACAUGCAAGUCGAACGGUAACAGGAAGAAGCUUGCUUCUUUGCUGACGAGUGGCGGACGGGUGAGUAAUGUCUGGGAAACUGCCUGAUGGAGGGGGAUAACUACUGGAAACGGUAGCUAAUACCGCAUAAUGUCGCAAGACCAAAGAGGGGGACCUUCGGGCCUCUUGCCAUCGGAUGUGCCCAGAUGGGAUUAGCUAGUAGGUGGGGUAACGGCUCACCUAGGCGACGAUCCCUAGCUGGUCUGAGAGGAUGACCAGCCAAACUGGAACUGAGACACGGUCCAGACUCCUACGGGAGGCAGCAGUGGGGAAUAUUGCACAAUGGGCGCAAGCCUGAUGCAGCUAUGCCGCGUGUAUGAAGAAGGCCUUCGGGUUGUAAAGUACUUUCAGCGGGGAGGAAGGGAGUAAAGUUAAUACCUUUGCUCAUUGACGUUACCCGCAGAAGAAGCACCGGCUAACUCCGUG
Molecule: ribosomal RNA, 490 nt
Filed under: uncultured bacterium
Lineage: Bacteria
Description: partial 16S ribosomal RNA
Rfam family: Bacterial small subunit ribosomal RNA
Source: RNAcentral